AGAUGCAACAGCAGCAGCAACUGCAGAGGAUGGCACAGUUGCAGCUGCAGCAACAGCAACAACAGCAGCAACAGCAGCAGGCUUUGCAGGCCCAGCCACCAAUGCAACAGCCACCAAUGCAGCAGCCACAGCCUCCUCCUUCUCAGGCCCUACCCCAGCAGCUGUCACAGAUGCAUCAUCCACAGCAUCACCAGCCACCACCUCAGGCUCAGCAGUCCCCCGUUGCUCAGAACCAACCACCACAACUCCAACCACAGUCACAGAACCAGCCUUUGGUGUCACAAGCACAAGCCCUGUCUGGACCAAUGCUCUAUGCUGCCCAACAGCCACUGAAAUUUGUCCGUCCUCCGAUGGUGGUCCAGCAGCCGCAGGUGCAGCCCCAGGUGCAGCAGGUGCAGCCCCAGGUGCAGCCACAGGCAGCAGUGCAGACAGCACAGUCUGCCCAGAUGGUAGCUCCCGGCGUUCAGAUGAUUGCUGAAGCCUUGGCCCAAGGCGGGAUGCACGUAAGAGCCCGGUUCCCGCCCACCUCCACCAUGUCUGCUGGCCCGUCAAGCUCCAUCUCUUUGGGCGGACAGCCCACGGCACAGGAAAGUGCAUCUAUGAUUCUUGGAGAUGGAGUCCCUGACUUUGCCUGAGGACCCACAAGCAGGAACUAUCUAUCCUCUGCAUAGUCAGACACAGGACACUUGUAUAACUGUCUUCAAAGGAGGGUCCUCUAGCUCAAUACACAUUGGAUUUACAGGGUUGGGUGGAAUUGUGGGGAUAAACCACUUAACAGCAUGGAAUAUUGUUUUUUGUAGACACUAAAGGUCCCCACAUUUUGAGGGUGUGAGGUCUGUCGGAUCGGAUCUUGAGCUGGGUUCUUCAUGUGUAGACUCUUGUGGCGGGUCAUAACUCCAACAUUUAGCUAAGUUUACAAAUGGAAAGGAGCUGGAAGGGAGUUCAGUGCUGAGGAUCAGAAGUCGACCACAGGACUCUCUUAGAAACCCUCGGCCCUGCUUUUGUCACUGAUCUGACAACCUUGUUCUUUCUGCUGACCGACAGAUCUGUCCAUGCAUCUUUGACUAGGUUCUGUAUCUUGCCUCCAUGGCCUGUUGUGGAGUAGUUCAUGCAUUUUCCACUGAGUAGGUCUUCUGAGCUAUAGUACUUCCUAACCCCAGACGGCAAAGAAAUUAAAGGAGAGGAAAGAAAGAGGAGAAAAAGAUAAAUGCUAAAAUAAAAGGUACGUGGAAGAUUUUGGUCACCCUCCAGGAAUGUUGUGGCUUGGUUGAUGGAGUGGUCACUGGUACAUGCCAGCUUGAGUCCUUCAGAUUGACUCAUCGUCCCCUGGUAAGUGAUGGCAGGUAGGGCAUGUGUCCCUGACGCUUUGAGGACUGUGGCAGCAGGGAGAUAGACAGACCUGGGCUGCACUAGGCUCGGAUUUUUUUUUUAUUUUAUUUUUUGUCUGGUUGGUUUUUGGGUUUUGUUUUUGUGUUUGUUUUUUUGAGACAGGGUUUCUCUGUGUAGCCCUAGUGUCCCGGAACUUACUUUGUAAGCGAUGCUAGCUUUGAGAGCUCCCCCUGCCUCUGCUGCCUGAGUGCUGGGAUUAAAGGUGUGGACCACCAUGCCUGACUGGAUUUUUUUUUUUUUUUUUUGGGUCUGGUUUCUGUUUUGUUUGUUUAAGCACAUUCACGUUUGCUUGUCUACUCAGAGGACAAAGGCCCUGAGAAUACUUAAGGGAGAGAUGUUAGUGGAGGCCCUAGAGGCCUCCCUUUGACCAUACAGCAUAGCUGUCAGAUCUCAACCCUUCCUGUGAAAACAAGAACUCCCCACUUUCAAAAGGGCCAGGACAGCACUCUCCAUAUUGUCCGUCUGUGAUACAUGGUGAAUGAAUGUAAGCAGGCAAGACCAUGACAAGUGUUCCUUGAUUCUCUGAAGGAGGACUCCAUCCAUGGUUCAUGCUUGGUUCUGGGUCAGGAACAAGAGCGAUAUAAGUCCUAGAUGCAUGCGUGUAAAUGGU
RNAcentral lists this long non-coding RNA (1999 nucleotides) under Rattus norvegicus (Norway rat). RNAcentral's name for it is "long non-coding RNA NONRATT007184". The record is from RNAcentral. Lineage: Eukaryota; Metazoa; Chordata; Mammalia; Rodentia; Muridae.